AACGCUGGCGGCGUGCCUAACACAUGCAAGUCGAACGGAACUGCUUCGAAGGAUUUCUUCGGAAUGACAUUGAUUCAGUUUAGUGGCGGACGGGUGAGUAACGCGUGAGUAACCUGCCUUCAAGAGGGGGAUAACAUUCUGAAAAAGAAUGCUAAUACCGCAUGACAUAUGAUUGUCGCAUGGCAGACAUAUCAAAGAUUUAUCGCUUGAAGAUGGACUCGCGUCCGAUUAGUUAGUUGGUGAGGUUAAACGGGCCCCACCAAGACCGCGAUCGGUAGCCGGACUGAGAGGUUGAACGGCCACAUUGGGACUGAGACACGGCCCAGACUCCUACGGGAGGCAGCAGUGGGGGAUAUUGCGCAAUGGGGGCAACCCUGACGCAGCAACGCCGCGUGAAGGAUGAAGGUUUUCGGAUUGUAAACUUCUUUUAUUAAGGACGAAAAAAUGACGGUACUUAAUGAAUAAGCUCCGGCUAACUACGUG
This 483-nucleotide ribosomal RNA is filed under the name uncultured bacterium. RNAcentral describes it as "bacterial SSU rRNA". It matches the Rfam family "Bacterial small subunit ribosomal RNA", at positions 32 to 507 of the family's 1533-position model. The record is from RNAcentral.